AAAAAGACCUGAGACUCCCUGGGGUGAAGGGAAAUGCCACAGACAUCCAUGGUCUUGGAUGCUCAACAGAAGUGCUUGCCUUGGUGAUCCAAAAAAGGCAGGAUCCGGCCGGGGGCAAGGUGAUUAUUCUGUCUGAUGAGGAGAAUAAGAGCCAGUUUGUGGUAUUGACAGAAGAAUGAAAGUAAAGUCUUGAAAGAUGGGAAGAUCAGGAGCAGUCUGGAGUCAUGGUAUAUGAAUGAACUAGUGAGAGUGGGCACAAAGUCUGAAGAUCUUUGUAGUGCAGCUAAUGUCUAAGGGAGAAUAUACCUACCCUAGAAGAGACAUUAAACAACCAGGUAAUUGGAGUAGACAAAGUGUCAGCCAGUCAAUAUCAGCCAUACUCUGUCAUCAGAGACUUCAGUGUUUGGACAAUAAGCACAUGAACAGAGAAGCUUACUGCAGGAAAGAAAUCCCUCAGAGUCCUGAAGAUACAGCUUUCAGAACUUAGGUGAAGCAAGAGGACUCAAGGUGUGCAAGAAUGGACAGUACAGAAUGCUCUGCUACACUGCUCAGAUUCCCCCUUCAGGAAGGAAGGACAAAUUCACUCAACUUCUGGGAGCAUUGAUGGUUGAGCUCUCAGCCAUCAGACCUUUUUGGAAGUUGCCCUCUUCUGAAAAGAGGCACAUUGCCCAAGAUCUUUCCUCCUCCAGAGCGCAGGCUGCACCUGAAGUCUGAUUGAUGUGGGGUAUGAUGGUCUGGUCUCCUUUCCCCAUCUAAAGGACUGUUCUAACCUCA
RNAcentral lists this long non-coding RNA (774 nucleotides) under Homo sapiens (human). RNAcentral's name for it is "long intergenic non-protein coding RNA 1013". The record is from RNAcentral. Lineage: Eukaryota; Metazoa; Chordata; Mammalia; Primates; Hominidae.